ACCUAAAUAGCUUAUGUAUAUAGAGUAUAACAUUGAAGAUGUUAGGGAAGUAAUUUUACUUUUAGGUA
Molecule: transfer RNA, 68 nt
Filed under: Mongolotettix japonicus
Lineage: Eukaryota; Metazoa; Arthropoda; Insecta; Orthoptera; Acrididae
Also listed under: 1 other name
Description: tRNA-Phe
Source: RNAcentral